Molecule: ribosomal RNA, 253 nt
Filed under: uncultured bacterium
Lineage: Bacteria
Description: partial 16S ribosomal RNA
Rfam family: Bacterial small subunit ribosomal RNA
Source: RNAcentral
CACGUAGGGGGCAAGCGUUGUCCGGAUUUAUUGGGCGUAAAGAGCGUGUAGGCGGCCAUGUAGGUCCGGUGUGAAAACUCGAGGCUUAACCUCGAGAUGUCAUCGGAAACCAUUUGGCUAGAGUCCGGAAGAGGAGAGUGGAAUUCCUGGUGUAGCGGUGAAAUGCGCAGAUAUUAGGAAGAACACCAAUGGCGAAAGCAGCUCUCUGGGACGGUACUGACGCUGAGACGCGAAAGCGUGGGGAGCGAACAGG